GACGAACGCUGGCGGCGUGCUUAACACAUGCAAGUCGAACGGAAAGGCCCUGCUUGCAGGGUACUCGAGUGGCGAACGGGUGAGUAACACGUGGGUGAUCUGCCCUGCACUUCGGGAUAAGCCUGGGAAACUGGGUCUAAUACCGGAUAGGAGCCAUAUUUAGUGUGAUGGUUGGAAAGUUUUUUCGGUGUAGGAUGAGCUCGCGGCCUAUCAGCUUGUUGGUAGGGUAAUGGCCUACCAAGGCGGCGACGGGUAGCCGGCCUGAGAGGGUGGACGGCCACAAUGGGACUGGGAUACGGCCCAGACUCCUGCGGGAGGCAGCAGGGGGGAAUAUUGAACAAUGGGCGCAAGCCUGAUGCAGCGACGCCGCGUGGGGGAUGACGGCCUUCGGGUUGUAAACUCCUUUCGCUAGGGACGAAGCUUUUUGUGACGGUACCUAGAUAAGAAGGACCGGCUAACUACGUU
RNAcentral lists this ribosomal RNA (465 nucleotides) under uncultured bacterium. RNAcentral describes it as "partial 16S ribosomal RNA". It matches the Rfam family "Bacterial small subunit ribosomal RNA", at positions 28 to 507 of the family's 1533-position model. The record is from RNAcentral.